Molecule: small RNA, 124 nt
Filed under: Marmota monax (woodchuck)
Lineage: Eukaryota; Metazoa; Chordata; Mammalia; Rodentia; Sciuridae
Source: RNAcentral
GCUGGGUGUGGUGGUGCACGCCUGUAAUCCCAGCGGCUGGGGAGGCUGGUCAGAAGGAUCAGGAGUUCAAAGCCAGCCUCAGCAAAAGUGAGGCACUAAGCAACUCAGUGAGACCCUGUCUAUA